RNAcentral lists this long non-coding RNA (2284 nucleotides) under Homo sapiens (human). RNAcentral's name for it is "non-protein coding lnc-MPP4-3:1". The record is from RNAcentral. Lineage: Eukaryota; Metazoa; Chordata; Mammalia; Primates; Hominidae.
GCUAUUGGCUAAGGAGGGCUUAUCGGCUGGGACCCCUUGUAUGCGGAAGGCCGGGGACAGGGAGCUAGGCGGAGGCUGUGGUCGAGGCCGGAGAGCGCCCUGCGGGGGGCCUGCGGAGACGGCGCCCGCAUUUUCCCAGCUCUGGGUGCGAUCGACUGCUCCUGCCGGUCCAGCAGCGCCCGAGGCGGCCCCUGCCUUGGCCCCAGGUUCUCCCACUUGCCCCGGUCUCUCCCUCCCCAGACUGGGCGCCGCUGCAGUGGUCUCAGCUGCGUGAAAUUCCUUCAAGCCCCCUCUUCCCGCCUCCACCCACGCUGCCUUCCAGCUAUUCAUUCACGAGAAUUUCUUGAAUGCCCACACUAGGCGCUGAGCUGAUAAACUGGGGUCCGUGGCCUGGAACCCUGCUGAGUGUCCCUGGCGGCCUUGCCACAGGGUGCAAAUCGCGUUGAAGAGUGGACCAAGGGCUACUUGAAAAGGCGGUUGCGGAGAAAGAAAAUAGCUUUGAUAAUAAGAAUUAGUAGUUUAGGCAAGUCUUUGAGCCUAUCAAGUAAUUCAUCAAGAGGAGAAGAUAAGUUAUUUUGAGAAGCGAAGCCAGAAAAAUAACACAGGUCCUUGACGCUGGUGUUCGUCCUCGGAUAAUAGGGCUGCUUUGGAGACAGGCAACAGUAGACUGGUAGAAUCGUUCUAUUGCUUAAGGCUUUGAUGGUGGAAGAGAAAAAACACUCUUGUUGAAGUGGCAUAUCCAAGAACAGUGCUUUCUUUCUGGUUUAGGAUGGAGAAGGAACUGACUGCUGUACCCAAGUGAAGAUCUUUACUCAGUUACCCUUAUAUUUGGCUAUAUGGAAUAAAAUUGUGUGAUAUGUUUAUUCUGAGCAGGUACAAAACUUCAGCAAACCUAUUGGUCCCACAUUUUCCCCCCCAUUUAUCAUAUGAUUUGGAGUGACCGGUUGACCUUUGAGUUAAUGAAUAAUUUAAAGCAGUGAAAAAUUUUUUGCAGUAAACUACGGUGUUUUAACCUUGAUAACAUAAGCAUAGUGGUUAAGAUUCUAGGCUUUGUAUCUGAACAUACCCAGAGUCACAUCCAUUUACAUCUUUGAUUUUGGGCAAGUUAUUUAAUCUCUCUGCCUCAGUUCUCUUGUCUCUAAAUUGGGGAUAAAAAUGUUUUCCUGAUAACAGUACCUUUACGUGUAAUGGUUCAUGUAUCGUAUUUAUUACAGUGCCUGUUUUAUGGUAAAUAUUCAAUACAUAUUAGCUGUUUUUAUAAUUAAUUCCUCCCACUACAUCAUGAUCCAAACUGACUCUUUUCUUAAGUGAUGGGGAAGGGAACUGAAUAUUUUAAGGAAGUAGCUAUAAAAUAUGAUUUCAAGUUGUUCUGUAGUAAUUUUGGUGUUCCAUAAGGACAUUUUAAUGUGAAAAAGAUACUGACAGAAUCUAUACAUGGUUUGAAUUUAUUAGUUUCUAAACUAUGACCAGUAUUAGCAGAUUUAAAAUUCAUAAUUAUAGCAAGAAAACGUCAAAGUUGUUUAACAGUGUUAAAAUUUGAAACUGUAAUGAUCCAGAAAAAUGAAAUACCAAACCGAUAAUUUUGGGAAAAAAACAAAACUUGAGUGGCAUUAUGCAGGCCAUUUACUUUUUAAAUGUACUCAAUAUAAACAGGAAUCCCUUCUCUCCAAAUUUCAGUUUUUCAGAAUUUGGGCUGUCAUUUGAAACACUUACUUUGGGCACUUUGACUGUUAAAGAAGCAAAGGGUAUGCUAAGAACUUCAAUGAGUCUUGAUGUUAGUGUUUUUGUAAUUAGGUGGAAUCUCCUACCUUUUCAUGAAAACUGGGUUUAAAGCAGUAGCUGCUGGGUCCAUUCUAAUGAUAAUCUCAAAAAUGUGACUGACUUGUAAAAAUCUACAAUUAUUUAUUAAUGUGAGACUAGGUAAAGUAUGAGUUGAAAAACUAGGAAGAAAGGCAGAGUGGUGAUUUUUAAGCUUGUAUAAAGGAAGGCCCGCUUUGGGUACUAUGAGGUACCUUUCUCACUCAGAGGCAUGCUGUGAGGAUUUGUGACUUUUAAAUCAUUUAGCUCUUUUUAUAACUUUGUGGAAUUAAAUCUACCACGUAUUUCAAGUGUAUUCAGGAUAUGAAUUUUCCUGGUAGAGAGUUUUAACAGAUUUUUUUCUCUUAACCCUUCAUUGAUGACCAAACAAUUUUGUUGUCUGUAAUAAGAAAGUACUCGGUUUUGUAGGGUGUCAGUCCUUAAGAAAAUGUUAGGUAGUCAUCAAUAAAAUAGCAACAAUCUCUGG